RNAcentral lists this ribosomal RNA (274 nucleotides) under uncultured bacterium. RNAcentral's name for it is "partial 16S ribosomal RNA". It matches the Rfam family "Bacterial small subunit ribosomal RNA", at positions 523 to 796 of the family's 1533-position model. The record is from RNAcentral.
AUACGGAGGAUCCAAGCGUUAUCCGGAUUUAUUGGGUUUAAAGGGUGCGCAGGCGGAAUGAUAAGUUAGUGGUGAAAUCCCGAGGCUCAACUUCGGAACUGCCAUUAAUACUGUCAUUCUUGAAUUCGGUUGAAGUGGGCGGAAUGUAGCAUGUAGCGGUGAAAUGCAUAGAGAUACUACAGAACACCGAUCGCGAAGGCAGCUCACUAAGCCGAAAUUGACGCUCAGGCACGAAAGCGUGGGGAGCGAACAGGAUUAGAUACCCCGGUAGUCC